AUUGAACGCUGGCGGCAUGUCUUACACAUGCAAGUCGAACGGCAGCGGACCUUCGGGUGCCGGCGAGUGGCGAACGGGUGAGUAAUAUAUCGGAACGUACCUUUCAGUGGGGGAUAACGUAGCGAAAGUUACGCUAAUACCGCAUAUUCUGUGAGCAGGAAAGCAGGGGAUCGCAAGACCUUGCGCUGAUUGAGCGGCCGAUAUCAGAUUAGCUAGUUGGUGAGGUAAAGGCUCACCAAGGCGACGAUCUGUAGCGGGUCUGAGAGGAUGAUCCGCCACACUGGAACUGAGACACGGUCCAGACUCCUACGGGAGGCAGCAGUGGGGAAUUUUGGACAAUGGGCGCAAGCCUGAUCCAGCCAUGCCGCGUGAGUGAAGAAGGCC
This 384-nucleotide ribosomal RNA is filed under the name uncultured bacterium. Its description in RNAcentral is "bacterial SSU rRNA". It matches the Rfam family "Bacterial small subunit ribosomal RNA", at positions 30 to 416 of the family's 1533-position model. The record is from RNAcentral.